GAGACACCCCAUGGAGCAGGACUUGCUUCAGUGGGGCUUUGGUGCUCACUGAAUCUGCUCCUUGUAUGUGUCACU
Molecule: microRNA precursor, 75 nt
Filed under: Myotis lucifugus (little brown bat)
Lineage: Eukaryota; Metazoa; Chordata; Mammalia; Chiroptera; Vespertilionidae
Description: mir-9229 microRNA precursor family
Rfam family: mir-9229 microRNA precursor family
Source: Rfam by way of RNAcentral